This is a long non-coding RNA of Passer domesticus (house sparrow), 806 nucleotides long. RefSeq lists it as uncharacterized. The record is from RefSeq and is a predicted model, not a curated record. The transcript has 5 exons. Lineage: Eukaryota; Metazoa; Chordata; Aves; Passeriformes; Passeridae.
CAUAUGCAGUGGAACCAAUGACAGUGGGCUCCAAAUCAGACCCACCACUGGCCAAGGCCAAGCCCACCAGCAACAGAGGCAGGACCUCUGGUAUUAAAGAAGGGGAGAAAAAGUUAUAGCAGAAACAACUGCAUCUGGAGAAGAGAGGGGUGAGAAAGAAUGUGAGAGGAAGAGCUCUUCAGACAUCAAGCCCAUGGAGGUCCACGGGGGAGCACAGAGACAUCUGCAGCCCAUGGAAGACCCCAUGCUGGACCAGGCUCCUGGCAGGACCCAUGGCCCUGUGGACAGAGGAGCCCACAUUGGAGCAGAAGGGACCCACUCUGGAGCAGUUUAUGGAGAACUGGAGUCCAGGAGAGUGUGGCACACUGGAAAAGCUUGUGGAGGAUUGUCUUCCAUGGGAGAAACUCCACUCUGCGAGAGGGGAACUGUGUGAGAAGACAUCUCUCUGAGGAGCAAGGAGCAGCAGAAAUAACAUGUGAUGAACUAACUGCAGCCCCCAUCCCCCAUAUCCCUGUGCUGCUGGGAUACAGCUAGAGAAGACAAGGAGUGAAGUUAAGCCUAAAAGGAGAGAAGCUGCAGGGAAGGUUUUAAGGUUAAUAAGGGGGAGAUACAGAGUAGAAUUGGUGGGCACCUGGCAUUUAUCCACGUCAGCCCAUUACACACAUCUGAAGAUGCAGACUGCGAUUCGAGCAUCAGACCUUCAAAAUCCGUAAAGACUAAUCUUUACAAUUGGAAAUUCUGGUAGCUCGAAUGGGACAAGACAUGACUUCACUGCUUGGUAAGACCACUGAUUUUUUAAUAAAGAG